Ostrinia furnacalis (Asian corn borer) is the source of this 456-nucleotide long non-coding RNA. RefSeq lists it as uncharacterized. NCBI's taxonomy places the organism in Eukaryota, Metazoa, Arthropoda, Insecta, Lepidoptera, Crambidae. The record is from RefSeq and is a predicted model, not a curated record. The transcript is spliced from 2 exons.
GCUUCUCGUGGUAGCGUUGGUGGUGGUGGCUUUCGCCGCCGCCGUGCCUCAGGGGGAGGAAGACGCACCCAUUUAAGGAGUGGCCAUAACUGCCAAAAGAUCUCGGCUGGUAGACCCACUGCUACGCACACUGGACACCGAAAGCAAAAGACAAAAUUAAAUAAAGUACCACAGCAUGAAACUCUUAGAUAGAAAAUAUAUUUGAAAACUUUGUUAAUAUUUCACAACUAGGUAUCACCUAAUUAUUGUAAACCCUUGAAAAAGAGAGAGGCUGACAAUAGUGACUGAGUUUCUUGCGCUGCUUCUUCUCAGCACUGGCCCAUUUAUUGUCCCGAAGCAGUGGUAGAGUUAAAAUACUGGGACAUGUAACACUUUAAAAACCUAUUUGCUGAAAGUAAACGUCUUUUUAACUAUUAUGAUUUCAUGAAUAAAUAACUGCUUAAUGUGCUUUCCGUA